GCUAAGGUGGUCGAGUGGUUAAGACGGAGCACUUAAGAUGCUCUCCGCGUUCAGCGGGCAUGGGUUCGAUCCCCAUCCUUAGCA
This 84-nucleotide transfer RNA is filed under the name Amphiamblys sp. WSBS2006. It matches the Rfam family "tRNA". From Rfam's summary of the family: Transfer RNA (tRNA) molecules are approximately 80 nucleotides in length. Their secondary structure includes four short double-helical elements and three loops (D, anti-codon, and T loops). Lineage: Eukaryota; Fungi; Microsporidia; Amphiacanthidae. The record is from Rfam by way of RNAcentral.